This 800-nucleotide ribosomal RNA is filed under the name Bacillus velezensis. Its description in RNAcentral is "bacterial SSU rRNA". It matches the Rfam family "Bacterial small subunit ribosomal RNA", at positions 30 to 814 of the family's 1533-position model. Lineage: Bacteria; Bacillati; Bacillota; Bacilli; Caryophanales; Bacillaceae. The record is from RNAcentral.
CCAAUUGGCGGCGUGUCUUAUACAUGCAAGUCGAGCGGACAGAUGGGAGCUUGCUCCCUGAUGUUAGCGGCGGACGGGUGAGUAACACGUGGGUAACCUGCCUGUAAGACUGGGAUAACUCCGGGAAACCGGGGCUAAUACCGGAUGGUUGUCUGAACCGCAUGGUUCAGACAUAAAAGGUGGCUUCGGCUACCACUUACAGAUGGACCCGCGGCGCAUUAGCUAGUUGGUGAGGUAACGGCUCACCAAGGCGACGAUGCGUAGCCGACCUGAGAGGGUGAUCGGCCACACUGGGACUGAGACACGGCCCAGACUCCUACGGGAGGCAGCAGUAGGGAAUCUUCCGCAAUGGACGAAAGUCUGACGGAGCAACGCCGCGUGAGUGAUGAAGGUUUUCGGAUCGUAAAGCUCUGUUGUUAGGGAAGAACAAGUGCCGUUCAAAUAGGGCGGCACCUUGACGGUACCUAACCAGAAAGCCACGGCUAACUACGUGCCAGCAGCCGCGGUAAUACGUAGGUGGCAAGCGUUGUCCGGAAUUAUUGGGCGUAAAGGGCUCGCAGGCGGUUUCUUAAGUCUGAUGUGAAAGCCCCCGGCUCAACCGGGGAGGGUCAUUGGAAACUGGGGAACUUGAGUGCAGAAGAGGAGAGUGGAAUUCCACGUGUAGCGGUGAAAUGCGUAGAGAUGUGGAGGAACACCAGUGGCGAAGGCGACUCUCUGGUCUGUAACUGACGCUGAGGAGCGAAAGCGUGGGGAGCGAACAGGAUUAGAUACCCUGGUAGUCCACGCCGUAAACGAUGAGU